GUAGGUGAACCUGCGGAAGGAUCAUUACCGAGUGUAGGGUUCCUAGCGAGCCCACCCUCCCACCCGUGUUUACUGUAACCUUAGUUGCUUCGGCGGGCCCGCCUUUAAGGCCGCCGGGGGGCAUCAGCCCCCGGGCCCGCGCCCGCCGGAGACACCACGAACUCUGUCUGAUCUAGUGAAGUCUGAGUUGAUUGUAUCGCAAUCAGUUAAAACUUUCAACAAUGGAUCUCUUGGUUCCGGCAUCGAUGAAGAACGCAGCGAAAUGCGAUAACUAGUGUGAAUUGCAGAAUUCCGUGAAUCAUCGAGUCUUUGAACGCACAUUGCGCCCCCUGGUAUUCCGGGGGGCAUGCCUGUCCGAGCGUCAUUGCUGCCCAUCAAGCACGGCUUGUGUGUUGGGUCGUCGUCCCCUCUUCGGGGGGGACGGGCCCCAAAGGCAGCGGCGGCACCGCGUCCGAUCCUCGAGCGUAUGGGGCUUUGUCACCCGCUCUGUAGGCCCGGCCGGCGCUUGCCGAACGCAAAACAACCAUUCUUUCCAGGUUGACCUCGGAUCAGGUAGGGA
RNAcentral lists this ribosomal RNA (559 nucleotides) under fungal sp. LP5_4252. Its description in RNAcentral is "eukaryotic LSU rRNA". The stretch from base 211 to 364 matches the Rfam family "5.8S ribosomal RNA". The record is from RNAcentral. Lineage: Eukaryota; Fungi.